AUUGAACGCUGGCGGCAUGCUUUACACAUGCAAGUCGAACGGCAGCGCGGACUUCGGUCUUGCGUCGAGUGGCGAACGGGUGAGUAAUGUAUCGGAACGUGCCCAGUAGCGGGGGAUAACUACGCGAAAGCGUAGCUAAUACCGCAUACGCCCUGCGGGGGAAAGCGGGGGAUCUUAAGACCUUGCGCUAUUGGAUGAGCCGAGAUCGGAUUAGCUAGUUGGUGAGGUAACGGCUUACCAAGGCGACGAUCCGUAGCUGGUUUGAGAGGAUGACCAGCCACACUGGAACUGAGACACGGCCCAGACUCCUACGGGAGGCAGCAGUGGGGAAUUUUGGACAAUGGGCGAAAGCCUGAUCCAGCCAUCCCGCGUGUGCGAAGAAGGCCUUCGGGUUGUAAAGCACUUUUGGUAGGAAAGAAACGCAGCAAGUUAAUACCCCGUGGAACUGACGGUACCUGCAGAAUAAGCACCGGCUAACUACGUG
Molecule: ribosomal RNA, 484 nt
Filed under: uncultured bacterium
Lineage: Bacteria
Description: partial 16S ribosomal RNA
Rfam family: Bacterial small subunit ribosomal RNA
Source: RNAcentral